CUGCCCUCAAGCACGGCUUGUGUGUUGGGCCCCCGUCCCCCUCUCCCGGGGGACGGGCCCGAAAGGCAGCGGCGGCACCGCGUCCGGUCCUCGAGCGUAUGGGGCUUUGUCACCUGCUCUGUAGGCCCGGCCGGCGCCAGCCGACACCCAACUUUAUUUUUCUAA
RNAcentral lists this unclassified non-coding RNA (165 nucleotides) under Aspergillus fumigatus. RNAcentral's name for it is "partial internal transcribed spacer 2". Lineage: Eukaryota; Fungi; Ascomycota; Eurotiomycetes; Eurotiales; Aspergillaceae. The record is from RNAcentral.